This 80-nucleotide ribosomal RNA is filed under the name uncultured bacterium. RNAcentral describes it as "partial 16S ribosomal RNA". The record is from RNAcentral.
CUGCUGCCUCCCGUAGGAGUUUGGGCCGUGUCUCAGUCCCAAUGUGGCCGUCCACCCUCUCAGGCCGGCUACUGAUCGCU